RNAcentral lists this ribosomal RNA (253 nucleotides) under uncultured bacterium. RNAcentral's name for it is "partial 16S ribosomal RNA". It matches the Rfam family "Bacterial small subunit ribosomal RNA", at positions 524 to 776 of the family's 1533-position model. The record is from RNAcentral.
UACGUAGGUGGCAAGCGUUGUCCGGAUUUACUGGGCGUAAAGAGCGCGUAGGCGGCCCGCUAAGUCGAACGUGAAAUCCCCGAGCUCAACUCGGGAACUGCGUCCGAUACUGGCGAGCUUGAAUCCGGGAGAGGGAUGCGGAAUUCCAGGUGUAGCGGUGAAAUGCGUAGAUAUCUGGAGGAACACCGGUGGCGAAGGCGGCAUCCUGGACCGGCAUUGACGCUGAGGCGCGAAAGCUAGGGGAGCAAACGGG